Cryptomeria japonica (Japanese cedar) is the source of this 514-nucleotide long non-coding RNA. RefSeq lists it as uncharacterized. The transcript is spliced from 2 exons. NCBI's taxonomy places the organism in Eukaryota, Viridiplantae, Streptophyta, Pinopsida, Cupressales, Cupressaceae. The record is from RefSeq and is a predicted model, not a curated record.
UCCUCUAUAUAACCACUGGCUUCGCUUCACAAAAGAACUUGGCCUGAGUUUUUUCGGUAUUUUUCACGAAUUGAAGAUGUCAGGCCGCCCUAAUCGCCAUAGUCGAAGACCUUCCACAGGAAUGCCUUCGCUUUUUUCUUCACAGGAGCUGUCUGAUAUAGCCAAAUCUCUCCAACAGCAGCCAUGCCAGAGUAACAACAAUACCAAUUCGGCUCCUCCAGUACCAGUUUCUUCAGUAACAACGCCCAAAGUUCCUGUCUCGCCCGACUCCCGUCCAGACUCCUAAUUGCAUUCAGUAUUUCUUGUGGAGCUCUCACUUUUGAGGUUUGGGGAGCGAACAGUUUAACUACUGUAGAAUGUUUGUAUCAGUUGUUCUUGGCAUAACAUAUUGUGUUGGUUGUGGUGGGGGAUGUUGUUUUGUUGUUUGAUGGAUUUUAAGUGUUGAAUAAUAUUGCAGAGGGACGUCAUUAUAGAUCUGAGAUCUCUGCUUAUAAAGCCGAGAAAAUUGGACUUC